RNAcentral lists this ribosomal RNA (166 nucleotides) under uncultured bacterium. RNAcentral's name for it is "partial 16S ribosomal RNA". It matches the Rfam family "Bacterial small subunit ribosomal RNA", at positions 342 to 525 of the family's 1533-position model. The record is from RNAcentral.
CGGGAGGCAGCAGUGGGGAAUAUUGCGCAAUGGGGGAAACCCUGACGCAGCAACGCCGCGUGAAGGAAGAAGGUCUUCGGAUUGUAAACUUCUUUGGUUGGGGACGAUAAUGACGGUACCCAAGGAACAAGCCACGGCUAACUACGUGCCAGCAGCCGCGGUAAUA